Molecule: long non-coding RNA, 364 nt
Organism: Ornithorhynchus anatinus (platypus)
Lineage: Eukaryota; Metazoa; Chordata; Mammalia; Monotremata; Ornithorhynchidae
Exons: 2
Source: RefSeq, a predicted model, not a curated record
GGCAAUCCAAUUCCCCUGAACACCACUGACACCCAAAGACAGACUAAACACCAGGCCGCAAAGUGCCAGACUGAAAGAAAAAUACCAGCAGCCCAUUAGGACACUGGCUUUUGCAACACAAGGUGGUCGGCUUUUCUGCAAUUUGGAGAAAGAACAAAAUGAAACACAAAAAUGCAGUAAGACUUCCUCAAGCUAACCUGCAGGUUGUUUGGAAAGCAAGUUUCUCUAGUUAAAAUUAUCAGCAAGGAUCUACACUCUCCCAGCCCACUGUACAUUUCCUGAUACGUCCACCCUCGGUUUUUCAUGACGUUCAAUUUCUGCCUCUAGGGCUCCCCUUCAAAUUAAAAAAAAAGUCUGCUAGAAA